This is a transfer RNA of Tritrichomonas foetus, 72 nucleotides long. It matches the Rfam family "tRNA". Rfam says of the family: Transfer RNA (tRNA) molecules are approximately 80 nucleotides in length. Their secondary structure includes four short double-helical elements and three loops (D, anti-codon, and T loops). Further hydrogen bonds mediate the characteristic L-shaped molecular structure. tRNAs have two regions of fundamental functional importance: the anti-codon, which is responsible for specific mRNA codon recognition, and the 3' end, to which the tRNAs corresponding amino acid is attached (by aminoacyl-tRNA synthetases). tRNAs cope with the degeneracy of the genetic code in two manners: having more than one tRNA (with a specific anti-codon) for a particular amino acid; and 'wobble' base-pairing, i.e. permitting non-standard base-pairing at the 3rd anti-codon position. NCBI's taxonomy places the organism in Eukaryota, Parabasalia, Tritrichomonadida, Tritrichomonadidae. The record is from Rfam.
GCCCUUGUAGUGUAAUGGAUAGCAUCUAAGACUACGAAUCUUAUGGUAUGGGUUCGAUCCCCAUCAAGGGUA